Molecule: ribosomal RNA, 229 nt
Filed under: uncultured bacterium
Lineage: Bacteria
Description: partial 16S ribosomal RNA
Rfam family: Bacterial small subunit ribosomal RNA
Source: RNAcentral
UGCGUAGGCGGAAUAAUAAGUUAGUGGUGAAAGCCCCCGGCUCAACCGGGGAACUGCCAUUAAAACUGUCAUUCUUGAGUAUAGUUGAAGUGGGCGGAAUGUAUCAUGUAGCGGUGAAAUGCUUAGAUAUGAUACAGAACACCGAUAGCGUAGGCAGCUUGCUAAACUAUAACUGACGCUCAGGCACGAAAGCGUGGGGAGCAAACAGGAUUAGAUACCCUGGUAGUCC